UACGUAGGGGGCAAGCGUUGUCCGGAAUCAUUGGGCGUAAAGCGUGUGUAGGCGGGUCGUUAAGUGCCUUGUGAAAUCCCAUGGCUCAACCAUGGAACUGCUGUGCAUACUGGCGAUCUUGUGCCACCUAGGGGCGAGCGGAACAGAUGGUGGAGCGGUGAAAUGCGUAGAUAUCAUCUGGAACGCCAAUGGUGAAAACAGCUCGCUGGGGGUGUGCAGACGCUGAGACACGAAAGCCAGGGGAGCGAACGGG
Molecule: ribosomal RNA, 253 nt
Filed under: uncultured bacterium
Lineage: Bacteria
Description: partial 16S ribosomal RNA
Rfam family: Bacterial small subunit ribosomal RNA
Source: RNAcentral